Molecule: long non-coding RNA, 1999 nt
Organism: Myotis daubentonii (Daubenton's bat)
Lineage: Eukaryota; Metazoa; Chordata; Mammalia; Chiroptera; Vespertilionidae
Source: RefSeq, a predicted model, not a curated record
CGCGGUGACACGCCUUGCUCCAGGCCAAACCCGUGAGGGUACCUGUCUGUUCCCCAGGGCAGGGUCUGGUCUUGCUCCCUUGGCAUCCACAGCCCACACAGUGGAUGUGCCCCUGGCGCUGUGCCCCUGGCGCUAGCUUACUCUCUGUGCCUUUUCUUCCCUCCCAUGACCCUGGGAUGGAGGAAGAGGGUCUGGUUAACACAGUCACACCGCAGAGGGAGUAAUUCCCUCCCCCUCCCCCGGUCCUGUAUAGGGCCCCCCCCCCCCCCCCAGGGCUCACAGCCCAGGAAACUGAGUAAGAGCAGGAAGUGGAAAACACUUCGCAGAAAAAGUUCCUGGGAGAUAGAAACCCUACCUCGUCUCACGUUCUAUUCCCAGCUCCAGGACCGUGCCCGGCACAUCACAGGCACGCAGCGUGCCAACUGAACCGGACCCCGCCGUGUGGGUCCGACUACAAGGACCCCCCGGGUUCCUGCCUCCUGGGGUUUAUGUGCUAGAGACCUGCUCCUACCAACAGAACAUGGCAAAGGAGCCAACCCUGAGGAAGGGCAUGUGUGCAAGUUCCUUUGGGAAGUGAUGCCAAGACACACCGAGGAGGGAGCCGGACAAUGAGCAGUGAUGUGAAGCUCCCGGCAUGCCACAGCUGGGUGAAGAGCUGGACAGAGAUGUGCGGGCCGGGCUCCCGUGAGCUGGUGUGAGCCGUGGGGCUGCAAGCUGCGCAGAGAAGGAAGGCGCUGGCAAAACGUGCAAAAUCAAGCCAGUGUCACCGAUCAUCCGAGCGGUUAGUGGGAAGCAGGCGGCUUUGAUUCGACUCUGGCUCCCCAGUGCUCCGGCCUCUGUGUGUCAGCGGGCUCCUGUUUCACCCCAGGACAGCAGAAUCCCUUGAUUAAAUUCAUAUUUGUUUUAAUCUUUCCCUGUGUCUGAUCUCAGGCUCAAAGAUGGUCAGGAAAAAAGCCGGCCGCCCCGCGGUGGCCAUGGGGCGGGCCCGUGUCAGGCCCCACGCUGUUCGUUCUGCCCGGCGCGAUUAGGCAGCGGCCUGCGGUGGCCCGUCCUGCCCACUGUGCCAGCCCCUCAAGCCUGCAUGCCGGAGCCGCUGGGCCGGGGAGAGGGCGAGGAGGUGGGACCAGCCAGCGCCGGCUGCAGCCUCUGACUGGAGCCGUGUGGGACUUGAACAGCUAGAAUUCUCUUUAAAAAUGGAAAAGCUGAAGAAAUUAUGGAUCUUAGGUGCCCGGGGUGGAGUGUAUCCGCCCGCUCGGCUCGUACAGGCGACUCUCUUUGUCUGUUUUCCGUCUCCCCCCAGCUCAUCCCUCCCCCCUUCCACCAGCACGGAGGCCCCUUCCAAUGUGCCCGCGUGUUGGGUUAAAUACCUAAUGUUGCCGUCUACACGGUAGCAACAAUCCCCACAACAGCCCUUUGAUGUAGGUGCACUUAACACCAUCCCGUUUUCCAGAGGAGGAAACUGAGGCACAGAGAGGGCACGUGACUUGUCCAGGGAGACGCAGCUGGUAAGUGGCAGCGCUGAUACCAAACCCCAUGGAGUCUGGCUUCAGCGUCUCUUUUUCAUUUUUAAAAUAUUUUUAUUGAUGUCAGAGAGGAAGAGCAAGGAGAGAGAGAGAGAAACAUCAAUGAUGAGAGAGAAUCACGGAUCGGCUGCCUCCUGCACGCCCCACACCGGGAUCAAACCCACAACCCGGGGCAUGUGCCCUGACUGGGCAUCGCACCAUGGUUUAUAGAUCCACGCUCAACCACUUGGCUACGCCGGCCGGCUCAGCGCCUCUUCCUUACUCCUUAUCUAACUGUCUGCUGGCCCAGUCCUGUGCUCCGUCUCUGGGCCACCACUUCGCCUCGCCUGGGCCCCCCAGGAAGCCACGCCCUCACGGUCCUCUCAGGCCGCUGCCCUCUGUGUGUCAUGGUCCCCAGGCCACUGGUGCAGGUCUGGGCCACACUCCUGGCCUCCCUUGGGUGGGGCUGCCCCCAUCCCCCGCAGGAAGUGGGUGUG